Molecule: ribosomal RNA, 468 nt
Filed under: uncultured bacterium
Lineage: Bacteria
Description: partial 16S ribosomal RNA
Rfam family: Bacterial small subunit ribosomal RNA
Source: RNAcentral
GACGAACGCUGGCGGCGUGCUUAACACAUGCAAGUCGAACGGAAAGGCCCUGCUUUUGUGGGGUGCUCGAGUGGCGAACGGGUGAGUAACACGUGAGUAACCUGCCCUUGACUUUGGGAUAACUUCAGGAAACUGGGGCUAAUACCGGAUAGGAGCUCCUGCUGCAUGGUGGGGGUUGGAAAGUUUCGGCGGCUGGGGAUGGACUCGCGGCUUAUCAGCUUGUUGGUGGGGUAGUGGCUUACCAAGGCUUUGACGGGUAGCCGGCCUGGGAGGGUGACCGGCCACAUUGGGACUGAGAUACGGCCCAGACUCCUACGGGAGGCAGCAGUGGGGAAUAUUGCACAAUGGGCGGAAGCCUGAUGCAGCAACGCCGCGUGCGGGAUGACGGCCUUCGGGUUGUAAACCGCUUUCGCCUGUGACGAAGCGUGAGUGACGGUAAUGGGUAAAGAAGCACCGGCUAACUACGUG